GAAUACAUAUAUCUUAUAAUAAAAUCUCUCAAUACAUAAUAUUGAUGUGAAUAUAUUAAUCAAUAGUGAGAAUGUGGGUUCGUGUAGUAGGUACCCGUAACAGUUGAGCCUAAUUGUCUUGGCUGUUGGGAAUAUCUAACUCUUCAGCCGGUAAAGCUUGGAUUUUUGGAAAUCAACGCUUUGAUUGCUCCAGAAGCUCUGCAAUUUUGAAGAUCAACGCUUGAUUGACUAGAAAUUAAAGGAACUGCUGAACCUUUUUUUUUUAUUGACUGUUUCUUCUGUGAUGGCAGCUUGAUUCUUACAGACCUCCGACCGACGAUUAGGAGGAAAAUAAAUUUCCAAUCUUUGUGGAAAUUCCCAAUUGCCGUAAUCUGAAGUAACCUUCUCACUUAAUUUGCUCCGAAAUGAAAAAAAAUUCACAUUUUCUUCUUCUUUUUACAUUUUCUUAUUUUUUUUACUGUGAAAUAUGGUCAGUCACCACCGCUGUUUACAUAUUUGUUUAAUUUGAUUUCUGAAUAUUUUGGGAUCUAAAUCAUAUCAACAAGUGUCGGUCAUCAACCCAUUAUUUUCUUAGCUUUAAUAAACUUUCCUGUAUUCAAAGUUUCACUGAAUUUCAUGUAAUUGUUUUAAUUGUUUAUUGAAGCAAGUAUGAUAUUUGUUGUUUUCUCACAAUCAAGUUUUACAAUUCUGUUCUUUUGCUCGCAAUUUGCACAGUUAUGACCAAAGUUUUGCUGUAUAAAUCUGUGUUUUCGAUGGCAAUUUUGCAGGAGGGGAUGCUGACAAAUUAUCUGUAGUUGAUUUGUCUUCAAUUAUUGUAAGUUGCAUAAUUUGUAUGUUUAUUUAUCUUUUUCUACACGCACAAACACACAUAUGUAUUAUUUAUCAGACAUAUGUAUUGUAUAUUUGCUAUGUCAAUGAGGAAAACUGCAAGUGGGAUGAAUCUAUUAUCUACCUGUUUCUCUUUUGAAUUAUUGCUCGUAUUAUUGCGGGGUGUAUUUUAUGUGUUCCUUGCUGCAUUUUGAGUUUUACGAAGUGUAUGGGCAAAUAUACUUAACUACUCAACGCCUAUUAUCCGAGCUGGGUAGGUUGAAGAAGGUUAGAAGAAGAAAUAAAAGGAUAAAAAGAAGAAAAUAAAUAAAAUAAAACAGCAUAAAUAAAUGGAAAUACAUAUAAUAAAAAAUACAUACACAUGUAUAUAAAAAACUAAAUAACAAACCGAAAGGGAAACUGAAAAAAUAUAAUAUUGAUAUGGACCAUAAAGGUGAAGUGAUACAUAAUUUGAGUAAAUAAGUUUGAAAAUGGUUGGUAAGCAUUAUUAUUUAUUUAUUAAAAUUAAGUAAUUAUCAAGAUGAGUCGAGGGUUACCUCAAUCAUACAAGAAGUAGGCGAUAUAGGCUAUUGGAGAUAUCUCAACAAGAUAAUAUAUUAAAAAUCAUAGAAAUCCAGCAUAUAUGAGCUUUUACAUGGUUUCAAAUUGUAAUUGCUUUGGCGCAGGAGCGUUUCAUCCUCAAUUCUUCUAGCAAAGAAUUUAGAUCAAUGUAAGAAGACCCAUCUUCUUCGACCGCCUUUUUUGCUGCAUCUCCCGGUGCUCUUGCUCGGCUUCUCAUUUUAUUGGUUUCUUCACCAACCAUCAGUUGGCUUACUGCCUUCACUAUAUCAUUCCUGUUUACAGAGACCUUAUAUUCUAUAGUCCUUUUAGACCACUGCUGAGCACCCACUGUGACUCCUAUCCUCAAAACACCUGUUAUUAGCUUUUUAUUGUAAAACUGUUCAGCAAAUAGUAGCCAUGUGAUCAUGGGCACUCCAGCAGUCAUUCCCUCCAGUAAUGAGUUCCACCCACAAUGAGUCACAAAACCUCCAACAGCUUCAUGAUCAAGGAUUAGAACUUGGGGCGCCCACCCUCUUAUUAUUAAACCCUUGUCCUCCGUUCUUUUUUUGUAUCCUUCAGGCAACCACCACUCCUGUUCUUCAUCGUUCUCUUUCUCUUUCCUCACCACCCAAAUAAUUUGCUGUCUGGAAGCUUCAAGACCAAUGCUAUCUCAUGUAGCUGUGCAGCUGAAAAAUUGGACAUGCUUUCAAAACAUAUGUAGGAAACAGGAAUUUUUUUUUUGGGAGUUGACCCAAUUUAAACACUCAUUUUCAUUAAUUGAGACCUUGUUACCUCUUUAUGCUUUAUCCUCAUUGUCUUUGUUACAGAGUGAAACUGGACCGAUAAGCCACGCACGUCUUCCCAUGACCUUGUGAUAAAUUCAGUGUUCUAAAAGGCGGCUGCCUUGGCCCCCUGGCGCCUCGCCUAGGCCAAAAAAGUCCUCCGGGAAAUUAGGCGGGCUAGGCAGAAAAGGCGGGGCCUAGGCGAAGAGGUUUUUUUUUUUUAAUUUUUAAUAACUACCCAAACCAAAUAUUGAUAUAUUUAUUUUUCUAAUGUUUACCAUAUUCAUAAUGCAGGUUGUAGCAUAUCAAAUCACAACAAGAAGUUCUAUAAUAAAAUGGAUAAUUUUAUUAUAGUUGUAAUUUUUUGAACUUGUACCAACUUCAAAUUAUAUAAAUGAUGAUACAUUUGUAAUAUUUAGUUUAAUUCAAUAUAAUUCUUAAAUUUAUGUUUAGUUUCUUAAGUUUUAAUAUUGAAUUGAAUUCUUGAAAUUUUAAAUUUUAUUAUUUAAUAGUAAUCUUGUUUAUGAAUAAAAUUAAUACGUUAAAGAUAUCUGUUUAAACUUUAAGCAAAUGCCUUUAUUAUCUUUAUUAUAGAUUUUUUUGCUUUAUAUUAUUGUUUUGUUUGGAU
RNAcentral lists this long non-coding RNA (2778 nucleotides) under Panax ginseng (ginseng). RNAcentral's name for it is "long non-coding RNA (PGIN_LNC007266)". The record is from RNAcentral. Lineage: Eukaryota; Viridiplantae; Streptophyta; Magnoliopsida; Apiales; Araliaceae.